GUCUAUGGCCAUGUCACCCUGAACAAGCCCGAUCUCAUCUGAUCUCAGAAGCUAAGCAGGGUUGGGCCUGGUUAGUACUUGGAUGGGAGACCACCUAGGAAGACCAGGUGCUGUAGGCA
Molecule: ribosomal RNA, 119 nt
Filed under: Pteropus alecto (black flying fox)
Lineage: Eukaryota; Metazoa; Chordata; Mammalia; Chiroptera; Pteropodidae
Source: RNAcentral